This 652-nucleotide long non-coding RNA is filed under the name Rosa chinensis. RNAcentral describes it as "sRNA RchiOBHm_Chr3g0482731". The record is from RNAcentral. Lineage: Eukaryota; Viridiplantae; Streptophyta; Magnoliopsida; Rosales; Rosaceae.
UGAUACGGAGGAAAAGAUACAGCAAUUGAUGCAUCUAUGUUACAUUCAGUAAAUAAAUCUAAGAAAACUCAUUACUGUUUGCUUCCUUCUUCCUGUUUCCUGUUUCUCUUUUGCUCUCUUUUUCCUGUUUCUUUCUGCUUUCUUUUUCCUUUUUCCUGUUUCUUUUUUGCUUUCUUUUUCCUUUAUUGAAUCUAUCUUCCUCAUUAAUUCUUUCUUUCGUUGCUUUACAUCUGAUCCUGAGGUGGACCAACUGAGCGCAACUCUAUAUUCUACAACUCCACCACCACGAAGAAACUGGUAACUAAACAUGACUUUUUCUUUCUUCAUCCUCUGGUCCUCAAACGAUCACUCAUUAAUUCUUUCUUUUGUUGUUUUAUAUGUUAUCCCGAGGUCAACCAACUGAAACCAACUCUCUCUUAUCAUCUUCAAAAUUAAUAUCAACAAAAAGCACCAAUCAACGGUUAGAAAAGAAUGACAGCCUGUAAUUCAGAAACACUUCUCAGAAAAGUAAUCCUCACUUAGGAAGCAGAGAUCUAGCAGGGCAAAAAUGGUUAGGAAGCAGAGACGAUAUGUAGAGUUUGCAGAAGGCAAGCAGAAAACAAAUAGUGAAGUCUUUGACCAUUGCGCAAUAGAUACACUGCUGAUUUCUCAU